This 228-nucleotide ribosomal RNA is filed under the name uncultured bacterium. RNAcentral describes it as "partial 16S ribosomal RNA". It matches the Rfam family "Bacterial small subunit ribosomal RNA", at positions 545 to 771 of the family's 1533-position model. The record is from RNAcentral.
UCGGAAUGACUGGGCGUAAAGGGCGUGUAGGCGGUUUACACAGUCAGAUGUGAAAUCCCCGGGCUUAACCUGGGAGCUGCAUUUGAGACGUUAAGACUAGAGUGUGAGAGAGGGUUGUGGAAUUCCCAGUGUAGAGGUGAAAUUCGUAGAUAUUGGGAAGAACACCGGUGGCGAAGGCGGCAACCUGGCUCAUUACUGACGCUGAGGCGACGAAAGCGGUGGGGAGAC